This 73-nucleotide transfer RNA is filed under the name Inonotus hispidus. RNAcentral's name for it is "tRNA-Lys". It matches the Rfam family "tRNA". From Rfam's summary of the family: Transfer RNA (tRNA) molecules are approximately 80 nucleotides in length. Their secondary structure includes four short double-helical elements and three loops (D, anti-codon, and T loops). Further hydrogen bonds mediate the characteristic L-shaped molecular structure. tRNAs have two regions of fundamental functional importance: the anti-codon, which is responsible for specific mRNA codon recognition, and the 3' end, to which the tRNAs corresponding amino acid is attached (by aminoacyl-tRNA synthetases). tRNAs cope with the degeneracy of the genetic code in two manners: having more than one tRNA (with a specific anti-codon) for a particular amino acid; and 'wobble' base-pairing, i.e. permitting non-standard base-pairing at the 3rd anti-codon position. The record is from RNAcentral. Lineage: Eukaryota; Fungi; Basidiomycota; Agaricomycetes; Hymenochaetales; Hymenochaetaceae.
UGUAGUAUAACUCAAUUGGUAGAGUGUUUAGCUUUUAACUAAAAAGUUGUUGGUUCGAUUCCAAUUGCUACAC